RNAcentral lists this microRNA precursor (75 nucleotides) under Marmota monax (woodchuck). It matches the Rfam family "mir-671 microRNA precursor family", at positions 6 to 80 of the family's 84-position model. The record is from RNAcentral. Lineage: Eukaryota; Metazoa; Chordata; Mammalia; Rodentia; Sciuridae.
GGAAGAGGAGGAAGCCCUGGAGGGGCUGGAGGUGAUGGACGUUUUCCUCCGGUUCUCAGGGCUCCACCUCUUUCG